CUUCCGUAGGGGAACCUGCGGAAGGAUCAUUACCGAGUGAGGGCCCUCUGGGUCCAACCUCCCACCCGUGUUUAUUUUACCUUGUUGCUUCGGCGGGCCCGCCUUAACUGGCCGCCGGGGGGCUUACGCCCCCGGGCCCGCGCCCGCCGAAGACACCCUCGAACUCUGUCUGAAGAUUGAAGUCUGAGUGAAAAUAUAAAUUAUUUAAAACUUUCAACAACGGAUCUCUUGGUUCCGGCAUCGAUGAAGAACGCAGCGAAAUGCGAUACGUAAUGUGAAUUGCAAAUUCAGUGAAUCAUCGAGUCUUUGAACGCACAUUGCGCCCCCUGGUAUUCCGGGGGGCAUGCCUGUCCGAGCGUCAUUGCUGCCCUCAAGCCCGGCUUGUGUGUUGGGCCCCGUCCCCCGAUCUCCGGGGGACGGGCCCGAAAGGCAGCGGCGGCACCGCGUCCGGUCCUCGAGCGUAUGGGGCUUUGUCACCCGCUCUGUAGGCCCGGCCGGCGCUUGCCGAUCAACCCAAAUUUUUAUCCAGGUUGACCUCGGAUCAGGUAGGGAUACCCGCUGAACUUAAGCAUAUCAAUAAGCGGAGGAA
RNAcentral lists this ribosomal RNA (589 nucleotides) under Penicillium sp. ZG-7. RNAcentral's name for it is "eukaryotic LSU rRNA". The stretch from base 209 to 361 matches the Rfam family "5.8S ribosomal RNA". Lineage: Eukaryota; Fungi; Ascomycota; Eurotiomycetes; Eurotiales; Aspergillaceae. The record is from RNAcentral.